ACUACAAAAAGCACCACAACAGACACUACAACAACAGAAAGCACCACCACAGGUACCUCAACACCAGAAAGUACAACAACUGAGACCACAACAAUAGAAAGCACCACAACAGAGACCAUAACUGCAGAAAGCACCACCACUGAUUCUACAACUCCAGAAAGCACAACAGUGUUAGAAAGUACAACCACUGACACCACUACUCCAGGAAGUACAACAACAGAGACCACAACAACAGAAAGUACCACCAUAACUGAGAUCACAACAAAAGAAGGCACCACCAUUACAGAAAGUAUUACCGCAGAGACCUCAACAGAAAGCACCACCACCAGUACCACAACUCCAGAAAGAACCACAAUGACAGAAAGUACAACCACUGGAACCACCACUUCAGAAAGUACAACAUCAGAAAGAUCUACAACAGAAAGUACCACAACCGACACUACAACAACAGAAAGCACCACCACAGGUACCACAAUACCAGAAAGCACAACAGCUGAGACCACAACAAUAGAAAGUAUCACCACAGGCACCACAACAGACACCAUAACAACAGAAAGCACCACCACUGGUUCUACAACUCCAGAAAGCACAACAGAGUUAGAAAGUACAACUACUGGCACUACUACUCCAGAACGUACAACAACGGAGACCACAACAACAGAAAGUACCACCCCCGGGACAACAACAGAGACCACAACAGUAGAAAGUACCACCACUGGUACCACAACAACAGAAGGCACCACCACUUCAGAAAGUACAACAACAGAAAGCACUACAACAGAAAGUACCACCCCUGGCAUUACAACUUCAGAAAGUACAACAAUGGAAACAACAACUACAAAAAGCAGCACAACAGACACUACAACAACAGAAAGCACCACCACAGGUACCACAACACCAGAAAGCACAACAACUGAGACCACAACAAUGGAAAGUACUAACUCAGGCACCACCACAGGCACCACAACAGACACCAUAACAACAGAAAGCACCACCACUGCUUCUACAACUCCAGAAAGCACAACAGUGUUAGAAAGUACAACCACUGGCACCACUACUCCAAAAAGUACAACAACAGAAAGCACUAGAACAGAAAGUACCACCCCUGGUAUUACAACUUCAGAAAGUACAACAAUGGAAACAACAACUACAGAAAGUACCACAACAGACACUACAACAACAGAAAGCACCACUACAGGUACCACAACACCAGAAAGCACAACAACCGAGACCACAACAAUAGAAAGUACCAUCACAGGCACUACAACAGACACCAUAACAACAGAAAGCACCACCACUGGUUCUACAACUGCAGAUAGCACAACAGAGUUAGAAAGUACAACCACUGGAACCACUACUCCAGAAAGUACAACAACGGAGACCACAACAAUAGAAAGUACCACCCCCGGGACAACAACAGAGACCACAACGAUAGAAAGUACCACUACUGGCACCGCAACAGAGAUCACAACAACAGAAGGCACCACCACUUCAGAAAGUACUACCACACAGACCACAACAUCAGAAAUACCCACCACUGGCACCACAAUACCAGAAAGCACAACUGAGACCACAACAACAGAAGGUAGGACAACAACAGAAAGUAUCACCAUCAGUACCACAACUCCAGAAAGUACAAGAAUGGAAACCACAACAACAGACAUGACAACAUCAGAAAGUACCACCGGUACCACAGCUCUAGAAAUUACAACAACAGAAAGCACCACAAUGGAUACUAAAACAACAGAAAGCACCACCAUCGGUACCACAACUACAGAAAGUACAACAGCAGACACUACAACAACAGAAAGUACAACAAGAGAAACCACCACAACAGAUACUACAACUACAGAAAGCACAACUGAAUCCACAACAACAGAAAGUACAUCAACAACAGAAACCACUACCAUUGGCACCACAACUCCAGAAAGUACAACAGUGGAAACCACAACAACAGACACUACAACAUCAGAAAGUACCACCACCGUUACCACAGCUCCAGAAAGUACAACAACAGAAGGCACCAUAACUGAAACAUCAACAAUGACAGAAAGUGCAACCACUGGUACCACAACUCCAGAAAGUACAACAGCAGACACUACAACAACAGAAAGCCCAACAACAGAUACUACAACUAAAGAAAGCACAACUGAAACCACAACAUCAGAAAGUACAACAAUAACAGAAAGUACAACAAAAGAGACAACAACAGCAGAAAGCACCACAACAACCGACAGCACCACAAUGGACACUACAACAACAGAAAGAACCACGACUCCAGAAAGCACCACAAUGGAGACCACCACAAAAGACAGUAAGACCACUGGCACCACAACUCCAGAAAGUAGUACCACAGAGACCACAACAACAGAAAGCACAACUGAAUCCACAACAACAGAAAGUACAUCAACAACAGAAAUCACUACCAUUGGUACCACAACUCCAGAAAGUACAAGAGUGGAAUCCACAACAAAGGACACUACAACAUCAGAAAGUACCACCACCGUUACCACAGCUCCAGAGAGUACAACAACAGACACUUCAACAACAAAAGAAAGCAGCACAACUGAAACAACAACAGAAACCACUACAAUGAUAGAAAGUACAACCACUGGUACCACAACUCCAGAAAGAACAACAGCAGACAUUACAACAACAGAAAGUACAACAACUGAAACCACAACAACAGGAAGCACCACAACAGAUAUUACAACUACAGAAAGCACAACAGAGACCACAACAGCAGAAAGCACCACAAUGGACACUACAACAACAGAAAGCACCACGACUCCAGAAAGCACCACAAUGGAGACCACCACAACAGAAAGUGCAACCACUGGCACCACGACUCCAGAAAGUACUACCACAGAGUCCACAACAACAGAAAGUACAACAACGGACAUUACGACAACAGAAAGUACCACCUCCGGUACCACCCCUCUAGAAAGUACAACAGCAGAGACCACAAUAACAACAGACAGCACCACAAUGGAUACUACAACAACAGAAAGCACCACCACUGGUACCACAACUUCAAAAAGUUCAACAGCAGAAACUUCAACAAAAACUGAAAGCAUCACAACCGAUACU
This 3090-nucleotide long non-coding RNA is filed under the name Sinocyclocheilus anshuiensis. Its description in RNAcentral is "lncRNA (ENSSANG00000003133.1)". The record is from RNAcentral. Lineage: Eukaryota; Metazoa; Chordata; Actinopteri; Cypriniformes; Cyprinidae.